GCCGAUAUAGCUCAGUUGGUCAGAGCAGCUGAUUUGUAAUCAGCAGGUCGCGGGUUCGAAUCCCCCUAUCGGCUCCA
Molecule: transfer RNA, 77 nt
Filed under: Labilibaculum manganireducens
Lineage: Bacteria; Pseudomonadati; Bacteroidota; Bacteroidia; Marinilabiliales; Marinifilaceae
Also listed under: 3 other names
Description: tRNA-Thr
Rfam family: tRNA
About the family: Transfer RNA (tRNA) molecules are approximately 80 nucleotides in length. Their secondary structure includes four short double-helical elements and three loops (D, anti-codon, and T loops).
Source: RNAcentral